Molecule: transfer RNA, 72 nt
Filed under: Bos taurus (domestic cattle)
Lineage: Eukaryota; Metazoa; Chordata; Mammalia; Artiodactyla; Bovidae
Also listed under: 5 other names
Rfam family: tRNA
About the family: Transfer RNA (tRNA) molecules are approximately 80 nucleotides in length. Their secondary structure includes four short double-helical elements and three loops (D, anti-codon, and T loops).
Source: Rfam by way of RNAcentral
UCCCUCGUAGCUCAGUUGGUAAAGAAUCUGCCUGCAAUGCAGAAGACCUGGGUUCAAUUCCUAGGUUGGGAA